RNAcentral lists this ribosomal RNA (392 nucleotides) under uncultured bacterium. RNAcentral's name for it is "bacterial SSU rRNA". It matches the Rfam family "Bacterial small subunit ribosomal RNA", at positions 97 to 520 of the family's 1533-position model. The record is from RNAcentral.
GGCAGACGGGUAGAGUAACACGUGGGAACGUGCCCUUCAGUUCGGAACAACCCAGGGAAACUUGGGCUAAUACCGGAUACGUCCGUAAGGAGAAAGAUUUAUCGCUGAAGGAUCGGCCCGCGUCUGAUUAGCUUGUUGGUGAGGUAACGGCUCACCAAGGCGACGAUCAGUAGCUGGUCUGAGAGGAUGAUCAGCCUCACUGGGACUGAGACACGGCCCAGACUCCUACGGGAGGCAGCAGUGGGGAAUAUUUGGACAAUGGGCGCAAGCCUGAUCCAGCCAUGCCGCGUGGGUGAUGAAGGCCUUAGGGUUGUAAAGCCCUUUCGGCGGGGAAGAUAAUGACGGUACCCGCAGAAGAAGCCCCGGGUUAACUUCGGUGCCAGCCGCCGCGG